GACGAACGCUGGCGGCGUGCUUAACACAUGCAAGUCGUACGGUAAGGCCCUUUCGGGGGUACACGAGUGGCGAACGGGUGAGUAACACGUGAGUAACCUGCCCACAACUUUGGGAUAACGCUAGGAAACUGGUGCUAAUACUGGAUAUGUGCUCCUGCUGCAUGGUGGGGGUUGGAAAGCUCCGGCGGUUGUGGAUGGACUCGCGGCCUAUCAGCUUGUUGGUGGGGUAGUGGCCUACCAAGGCGGCGACGGGUAGCCGGCCUGAGAGGGUGACCGGCCACCAUGGGACUGGGAUACGGCCCAGACUCCCUCGGGAGGCAGCAGUGGGGAAUAUUGCACAAUGGGCGCAAGCCUGAUGCAGCAACGCCGCGUGCGGGAUGACGGCCUUCGGGUUGUAAACCGCUUUCAGCAGGGACGAAGCUUUUUGUGACGGUACCUGCAGAAGAAGCACCGGCUAACUACGUG
RNAcentral lists this ribosomal RNA (465 nucleotides) under uncultured bacterium. Its description in RNAcentral is "partial 16S ribosomal RNA". It matches the Rfam family "Bacterial small subunit ribosomal RNA", at positions 28 to 507 of the family's 1533-position model. The record is from RNAcentral.